AAGUCGUAACAAGGUUUCCGUAGGUGAACCUGCGGAAGGAUCAUUAAUGAAUAUAACAUCGGAGGGGGGAACGAAGGGGAUGCUGUCGCUGGCCUUUCAAGGCAUGUGCACGCUCUCCGGAGGACCUCCCGACGUCUUUCAUCUUCUCACCUGUGCACCAUAAUCUAGGUCGGGCCGGUUUUGGUAAACAGAACUGGCGAGUGCCUUGUCCUAUCGGACGAGGCCACGUACCUAUAUCUUCAUAACAUCUUCGUGUAGAAAGUCCCAGAAUGUAUACUAUCAUAGAGUCACGACUUCUAGGAGACGUGAAUCUUUGAGUUAAAAGUUAUUACAACUUUCAGCAACGGAUCUCUUGGCUCUCGCAUCGAUGAAGAACGCAGCGAAAAGCGAUAUGUAAUGUGAAUUGCAGAUCUACAGUGAAUCAUCGAAUCUUUGAACGCACCUUGCGCUCCUUGGUAUUCCGAGGAGCAUGCCUGUUUGAGUGUCAGUAAUUUCUCAACCCCUCUUGAUUUUCUUCGAGGGGGAGCUUGGAUAGUGGGGGUUGUCGGAGACCUUUGGGGGCUAGUCCCCCAGGACUCCGACUCUCCUGAAAUGUAUCGGCUUGCGGUCGACUUUCGACUUUGCGUGAAAAGGCUUUCGGCGUGAUAAUGAUCGCCGUGUGCUGAAGCGUAUCAAUGAAAGCUUGACGUGCCUCUAAUACCGUCGACCCUAAUAUCUCCAAAAGAGAGAAAAGG
This 734-nucleotide ribosomal RNA is filed under the name Rhizopogon lucidus. RNAcentral describes it as "eukaryotic LSU rRNA". The stretch from base 333 to 487 matches the Rfam family "5.8S ribosomal RNA". The record is from RNAcentral. Lineage: Eukaryota; Fungi; Basidiomycota; Agaricomycetes; Boletales; Rhizopogonaceae.